GACGUAGGGCGCGAGCGUUGUCCGGAUUUAUUGGGCGUAAAGAGCUCGUAGGCGGCUUGUCGCGUCGUGUGUGAAAUCUCAGGGCUCAACUCUGACAUUGCAUACGAUACGGGCAGGCUUGAGUUCGGUAGGGGAGACUGGAAUUCCUGGUGUAGCGGUGAAAUGCGCAGAUAUCAGGAGGAACACCGGUGGCGAAGGCGGAUCUCUGGGCCUUACCUGACGCUCAGGCGCGAAAGCUAGGGGAGCGAACUGG
Molecule: ribosomal RNA, 253 nt
Filed under: uncultured bacterium
Lineage: Bacteria
Description: partial 16S ribosomal RNA
Rfam family: Bacterial small subunit ribosomal RNA
Source: RNAcentral